UAUCGAGUUUCUAUACUUAUU
Molecule: non-coding RNA, 21 nt
Filed under: Caenorhabditis elegans
Lineage: Eukaryota; Metazoa; Nematoda; Chromadorea; Rhabditida; Rhabditidae
Source: RNAcentral